CUUCUCCAACUACCACCUCAUCAUCACUAUUGCUGUUACCACCAUUAGCAGCUCCAUUCAAGCUUAUCUCAUCCAUCAUUUCCAUAGGUGAUGUACUCACAGGGGCAUUACCAACGCUGUCAUCUUGGAAGGCAAACCAGUUGGAAUUUGUGAAUAGACUGCUCCCUUGGUCAUCACCAAGCCUCAGAGAAGAUAUAACAACUUCAGCAGACUCGUCAUCAAAGUAGACAUCCUCAUCAUCUCG
This 244-nucleotide unclassified non-coding RNA is filed under the name Hevea brasiliensis (rubber tree). Lineage: Eukaryota; Viridiplantae; Streptophyta; Magnoliopsida; Malpighiales; Euphorbiaceae. The record is from RNAcentral.